Molecule: ribosomal RNA, 447 nt
Filed under: uncultured bacterium
Lineage: Bacteria
Description: bacterial SSU rRNA
Rfam family: Bacterial small subunit ribosomal RNA
Source: RNAcentral
UCGGGAAUUUUGGGCAAUGGGGGAAACCCUGACCCAGCAACGCCGCGUGAAGGAUGAAGUAUUUCGGUAUGUAAACUUCGAAAGAAUAGGAAGAAUAAAUGACGGUACUAUUUAUAAGGUCCGGCUAACUACGUGCCAGCAGCCGCGGUAAUACGAAGGGGGCUAGCGUUGUUCGGAAUUACUGGGCGUAAAGCGCAUGUAGGCGGGUCGUUAAGUCGGGGGUGAAAGCCCAGAGCUCAACUCUGGAACUGCCUUCGAUACUGGCGACCUGGACCCAAGGAGAGGCGAGUGGAAUUGCGAGUGUAGAGGUGAAAUUCGUAGAUAUUCGCAGGAACACCAGUGGCGAAGGCGACUCGCUGGACUUGUGGUGACGCUGAGAUGCGAAAGCGUGGGGAGCAAACAGGAUUAGAUACCCCAGUAGUCCCUGAGCGGGCUGGCAAGGCGCAU